GGCCUGGUGGUGGAUGGUUUCCACACCUACACUCGAUGCUGUAGAUCAUCAGUUGUGCGUAGGACAUCGCUCGUUCGAUCCGAGCUCAGGCCA
This is a non-coding RNA of Mycena epipterygia, 93 nucleotides long. NCBI's taxonomy places the organism in Eukaryota, Fungi, Basidiomycota, Agaricomycetes, Agaricales, Mycenaceae. The record is from the annotation of a GenBank genome assembly.